This 127-nucleotide small RNA is filed under the name Marmota monax (woodchuck). Lineage: Eukaryota; Metazoa; Chordata; Mammalia; Rodentia; Sciuridae. The record is from RNAcentral.
GCUGGGCAUAGUGAUGCAUGCCUGUAAUCCCAGCAACUCAGAAGGCUGAGACAGGAGGAUCACAAGUUCGAGGUCAGACUCAGCAACUUAGUGAGGUCUUAAGCAACUUAGUGAGACCUUGUGUCAA